RNAcentral lists this ribosomal RNA (258 nucleotides) under Conothele sp. MYG527. RNAcentral describes it as "partial 12S ribosomal RNA". Lineage: Eukaryota; Metazoa; Arthropoda; Arachnida; Araneae; Ctenizidae. The record is from RNAcentral.
CCUUUAUUUAUUGGCGGCCUUUUUUCUUAUUAGAGGAACUCGUCCCAUAAUCGUCACUCCUCGUUAAUUUUUACUUUUUUUUUUCUCUUAUACCGCCGUCUAAAGAUUAAAUUCUUUUUCAAGAAAAAAUGAUUUUGUUAAGUCAGGUAAAGGUGAGGAAAAAUAAAAAAGAGAAGAUAAGUUACUUAUGAAAUUUAUUUUUGGAUACACAAUUUAACUAUUCGUUGAAAAAGGAUUUAAAAGUAAUUUUUUAAUAAU